Molecule: ribosomal RNA, 497 nt
Filed under: uncultured bacterium
Lineage: Bacteria
Description: partial 16S ribosomal RNA
Rfam family: Bacterial small subunit ribosomal RNA
Source: RNAcentral
GAUGAACGCUGGCGGCGUGCCUAAUACAUGCAAGUCGAGCGAACGGACGAGAAGCUUGCUUCUCUGAUGUUAGCGGCGGACGGGUGAGUAACACGUGGAUAACCUACCUAUAAGUCUGGGAUAACUUCGGAAAACCGGAGCUAAUACCGGAUAAUAUUUUGAACCGCAUGGUUCAAAAGUGAAAGACGGUCUUGCUGUCACUUAUAGAUGGAUCCGCGCUGCAUUAGCUAGUUGGUAAGGUAACGGCUUACCAAGGCAACGAUGCAUAGCCGACCUGAGAGGGUGAUCGGCCACACUGGAACUGAGACACGGUCCAGACUCCUACGGGAGGCAGCAGUGGGGAAUCUUCCGCAAUGGGCGAAAGCCUGACGGAGCAACGCCGCGUGAGUGAUGAAGGUCUUCGGAUCGUAAAACUCUGUUAUUAGGGAAGAACAUAUGUGUAAGUAACUGUGCACAUCUUGACGGUACCUAAUCAGAAAGCAACGGCUAACUACGUG